CAGCAGCCGCGGGAAAACGUAGGUGGCAAGCGUUGUCCGGAAUUAUUGGGCGUGAAGGGCUCGCAGGCGGUUUCUUAAGUCUGAUGUGAAAGCCCCCGGCUCAACCGGGGAGGGUCAUUGGAAACUGGGAAACUUGAGUGCAGAAGAGGAGAGUGGAAUUCCACGUGUAGCGGUGAAAUGCGUAGAGAUGUGGAGGAACACCAGUGGCGAAGGCGACUCUCUGGUCUGUAACUGACGCUGAGGAGCGAAAGCGUGGGGAGCGAACAGGAUUAGAUACCCCAGUAGUCCCUGUCUCUUAUAC
Molecule: ribosomal RNA, 301 nt
Filed under: uncultured bacterium
Lineage: Bacteria
Description: partial 16S ribosomal RNA
Rfam family: Bacterial small subunit ribosomal RNA
Source: RNAcentral